Molecule: ribosomal RNA, 301 nt
Filed under: uncultured bacterium
Lineage: Bacteria
Description: partial 16S ribosomal RNA
Rfam family: Bacterial small subunit ribosomal RNA
Source: RNAcentral
CAGUAGCCGCGGGAAUACGUAGGGUCCGAGCGUUGUCCGGAAUUAUUGGGCGUAAAGGGCUCGUAGGCGGUUUGUUGCGUCGGGAGUGAAAACCCAGGGCUUAACUUUGGGCUUGCUUUCGAUACGGGCAGACUUGAGGCAUUGAGGGGAGAACGGAAUUCCUGGUGUAGCGGUGAAAUGCGCAGAUAUCAGGAGGAACACCGGUGGCGAAGGCGGUUCUCUGGCAAUGUUCUGACGCUGAGGAGCGAAAGUGUGGGGAGCGAACAGGAUUAGAUACCCCCGUAGUCCCUGUCUCUUAUAC